This is a ribosomal RNA of Cyprinus carpio (common carp), 119 nucleotides long. The record is from Ensembl. NCBI's taxonomy places the organism in Eukaryota, Metazoa, Chordata, Actinopteri, Cypriniformes, Cyprinidae.
GCUUACGGCCAUACCACCCUGAGCGCGCCCGAUCUCGUCUGAUCACGGAAGCUAAGCAGGGUCGGGCCUGGUUAGUACUUUGAUGGGAGACCGCCUGGGAAUACCAGGUGCUGUAAGCU